This 490-nucleotide ribosomal RNA is filed under the name uncultured bacterium. Its description in RNAcentral is "partial 16S ribosomal RNA". It matches the Rfam family "Bacterial small subunit ribosomal RNA", at positions 29 to 505 of the family's 1533-position model. The record is from RNAcentral.
AGUGAACGCUGGCGGUAGGCCUAACACAUGCAAGUCGAACGGCAGCACAGUAAGAGCUUGCUCUUACGGGUGGCGAGUGGCGGACGGGUGAGGAAUACAUCGGAAUCUACUUUUUCGUGGGGGAUAACGUAGGGAAACUUACGCUAAUACCGCAUACGACCUACGGGUGAAAGCAGGGGAUCUUCGGACCUUGCGCGAUUGAAUGAGCCGAUGUCGGAUUAGCUAGUUGGCGGGGUAAAGGCCCACCAAGGCGACGAUCCGUAGCUGGUCUGAGAGGAUGAACAGCCACACUGGAACUGAGACACGGUCCAGACUCCUACGGGAGGCAGCAGUGGGGAAUAUUGGACAAGGGGCGCAAGCCUGAUCCAGCCAUACCGCGUGGGUGAAGAAGGCCUUCGGGUUGUAAAGCCCUUUUGUUGGGAAAGAAAAGCAGCAGGUUAAUACCCCGCUGUUCUGACGGUACCCAAAGAAUAAGCACCGGCUAACUUCG